RNAcentral lists this ribosomal RNA (518 nucleotides) under embryophyte environmental sample. RNAcentral describes it as "eukaryotic LSU rRNA". The stretch from base 102 to 257 matches the Rfam family "5.8S ribosomal RNA". Lineage: Eukaryota; Viridiplantae; Streptophyta. The record is from RNAcentral.
CGUAACCUGGAAACAGAACAAGGAACAUGGAUACAAGUGUGCCCUUCUUCAGCUGGUUCGCCAGAUGUAGAGGUGGCACCAAGUCGUAUAUAACAUUAAACGACUCUCGGCAACGGAUAUCUCGGCUCUCGCAUCGAUGAAGAACGUAGCGAAAUGCGAUACUUGGUGUGAAUUGCAGAAUCCCGUGAACCAUCGAGUCUUUGAACGCAAGUUGCGCCCGAAGCCUUUAGGUCGAGGGCACGCCUGCCUGGGCGUCACGCAUCGCGUCUCCCCCCACCCACCUUCAGUGGGAGGGGCGGAGGAUGAUGGCCUCCCAUGCCUCACCGGGUGUGGAUGGCCUAAAUACGGAGCCCCCGGUUAUGAAGUGCCGCGGCAUAGGUGAGAUACAAGGCCUAGCCUAGGAUACAUCGGAGUCGUGCACUUUUUAGCUUUUGAGGACUCGCAGGACCCUAAGUUUGUUUGCCCAUUGGGGCAUCAAAACCGUUGCGACCCCAGGUCAGGCGGGGCUACCCGCUGAG